Molecule: long non-coding RNA, 420 nt
Organism: Cyanistes caeruleus (blue tit)
Lineage: Eukaryota; Metazoa; Chordata; Aves; Passeriformes; Paridae
Source: RefSeq, a predicted model, not a curated record
CAAAAAUACAACAUCCUAUUGCAAAAUCGCUCAUCAGGCUGCCAGGAGCCUGCUGCUUGCAGCAAGCAUCGCUUACAGCCUACAUCUCUUUGUCUUGCCACAAGCUCACACGUUAAACUUGUGGGGUGUAGAUAUGUCCCUGGUUUACUGCACUGAAAUCCUCAGCUUCCUUUGACUGCACCCUGGCUGGAUCAAUAACCUUCCAGGAAAUACCCCUUACUGCUUUGUAAUGGGAAAAUUGAUGGAUUUUGAAACAGAAACAAGUUAUCUUCCUGAAAAGCUGUAACUGUGAAUGAACAAUUUUAAAUGAAUGCUGACACCUGCACAACAACCAUGUUUCUGCAGUUCUCCAGAGAAAAUGCAGGAGCAAAUAACAUUUCAGAGCUGCAGGGACAUUAAAAACAUUAAGUGUUCAUUUUG